Long non-coding RNA from Dendrobium catenatum, 342 nucleotides. RefSeq lists it as uncharacterized. The transcript is spliced from 2 exons. The record is from RefSeq and is a predicted model, not a curated record. NCBI's taxonomy places the organism in Eukaryota, Viridiplantae, Streptophyta, Magnoliopsida, Asparagales, Orchidaceae.
AAUAUUUAUAAUUUUCAGAAAGAAAUCCUAUCAUUAGGUUUGCUAUGGAAUAUAUUUAUGUUUCCAAUGGUAAUGAUGUAGCAUGCUGGAUGGCCUGAAGCUUUUCAGGCAACCACAGCUGCCAUUACCAAGGGGAUUCAGUGUCUUGGGUUCUUGGUGCUAGACAAUGUGCAAUGCAGAAGGCAAAGAUUCUCUGCUUGUCUUAUUUGCUGGACUUCACUAUCAUUUGAUCCUUAUUCUUGUUCCCUUAUACUUGUUUUAUCCUUAUAGGAAUGUCUUCCGUUUUUCUUUGCUUUGUUUGGAUGAAUUAAACAUUAAAAAAAUAUUAUUUACCUAAUAUUU